This is a long non-coding RNA of Cyprinus carpio carpio, 430 nucleotides long. The record is from Ensembl. Lineage: Eukaryota; Metazoa; Chordata; Actinopteri; Cypriniformes; Cyprinidae.
GGGCGUCUUGACUCUCGGCAGUAUCGUGUACCUGCAUUCCCACCUCAGGGUUUGACCUCAGCAGAUGGGCUCUGUCUGUAAUGUACGCCGAAAGUGUGAGAUUUGGAGGCAUGCUGGGAAAGAAAUGUUAUGAUAACUGGCACCGUUUCAUCUUCAUUCAUCAAACGGAGAAUUAUAUCGUAGAGCAAGUGCUUGACAUGUGCGGUUAUACUUAAAGAUCAAAAUGGUGUUGACAGAUCUUUGACCCAGUGAUGACUUCAGCACACAUUAUGACAUCACACAGUUUUUGUUUAAUCUAAUCAUAGUGCACUACGCACAAACUAAGUUUAGAAGACAAAAGAUUUGGGGCAGAAUGUUCUGGCAGUGAAAGUGAACGGUGAAUGGAGGCUGUUGAGAAAAUUGACCAAAAAAAAAAAAAAAAAAACCACAA